Topomyia yanbarensis is the source of this 1504-nucleotide long non-coding RNA. RefSeq lists it as uncharacterized. NCBI's taxonomy places the organism in Eukaryota, Metazoa, Arthropoda, Insecta, Diptera, Culicidae. The transcript is spliced from 3 exons. The record is from RefSeq and is a predicted model, not a curated record.
AAUGAGGUCGCGAAAUAUUUUUCCUUUUUCCGUGCGGAAUUUUGACAUUUGCUCGCGAAAACUAGUCUGUGCGUUUGCCGUUAGAUGUCGCUUUUGACAGCUGAAAAUCGUUAUCAGCUGUUGUUUGUUUAUUUAUUUUUCAUGUUGAUAUUUUAAAAUUGAAAAACGGUGUACAUAAAACAAGCUUGUGAGUUGCUAAACGGUUUCUCCAGGUGUCUUCCUGGCAAACACGCCCGAGUAUAUCCCAGAGAAUGGUUACAGUGAUGAUGUCUGAGGUUUUGCAGGAAGUUCGAUGCACGGUUACAUCAUAUUUCACAUUAGUGAGCGCCCACAACAAUAUUGGCUGAGAAUCUGUCUUAACCGAAUGCAUGUGUGUGCUAACGUUUCGCUCUUCAUCAGAACAAGAAAAAGUAAGGAACCGAAAAGUAACUCACAUCUGCCCUAUACUUAACCUAUUGAUUCCACGCAGUUGCAAAGAUGCGAGCUCUAUGGAAAUCGAUUUCACCAUUAAACUCAGCCAAACAUGUUUGGAUACAUCGAUUUCAACAUCAAUACAAUUGCGAUGCCGACAUUUCCCCUGAACGGCAGCGGAACCUAUGGAUGCACCAUCAUGUACAAACUGGAAAGAAACACAAGUGCAACCCUAACCGAACACAUGAACAUACGAGAGAGCGGCUGUAUAAGAAAAUGGAACAAAAAAUAGUUACGAAGCCGCACACAUGCACUGCCAUGCGACAAAGAGUCUGGUUGCUAGAAUGGGACUAGAUAUUAUAACAGCUAGAGGGCACUUGCCGGUGCUAGCACGAUUCUAAACGCGCUAAAGGCAGUUAAAUUCGAGGUACCAAAACUAAACAUAAACUUGCAAACUUUCUUACAUCUAAAAAUUUGCUUAUACGAGUAUUGUCUAUCUCGCACUGAUGCAAAUUAGAUGGGCGCGUAAUUCAACGUACGGUCUUGUGGCGCAUGGCUGAAAAGUCGCAAUGUAGAUUUAAGAAAAAAAUCGCAAUACACAGUUACGAUGAAGAGCGAGCCAAUAUGUAUAAGUACCAUUUUGUGAGCAUAUACGCCAACGCAUACCUAGGAUAUACAUGUAAAGGACAGAUUCAAGGAAGAAUUCGCUACCCUACCUGCGGUAUAAACCAGUUCGUGAACUAUUGCUUUUCACAAUACAAUGGAGACAAAAUGUUUAAGCUGGUGUUGCAUUAGAAUUAAAAAAUAAAAUUUAAUUAUAUUCCAAUUAGUUGUAAACAGUUUCAAAUGAGAAAAUAGGCUCUUUACCCUAUUAUAAUAACCAAAUGAAUAAAACAAAUCAAAUUUAUAAUACCCGCGAUAUUACAUUUUGUAGCAAAAUUGAACAUUAUUGUUCGCAGCUUUGCUUAACCACAUGGCUAGUGCUAUGAUCCUAUUGACAUAUAAAAUUGUUCCUAUUAGCGACCCUCCGAAGCAUCAGCCCAAGGCAGGAAAUGAAAAAAAUAAAAAUAUUACACCAAUUCAGUACAUUUCA